GAUGAAUGCUGGCGGCGUGCCUAACACAUGCAAGUCGAGCGGCAGCGAGGGGUGCUUGCACCCUGUCGGCGAGCGGCGAACGGCUGAGUAACGCGUAGGAAUUUGCCCCAAAGUGAGGAAUAAGUGCCCGAAAGGGUAGCUAAUGCCGCAUAUGGCCUUCGGUUUAAAGGAUUUAUCCGCUUUGGGAGAAGCCUGCGUUGGAUUAGGUUGUUGGUAGGGUAAUGGCCUACCAAGCCGACGAUCCAUAGCUGGCCUGAGAGGAUGAUCAGUCAGACUGGAACUGAGACACGGUCCAGACUCCUACGGGAGGCAGAAGUGAGGAAUCUUCCACAAUGGGCGAAAGCCUGAUGUGGCAACGCCGCGUGAAGGAUGAAGGCCUUCGGGUUGUAUACUUCUUUUAUGAGUGAAGAAUAUGACGGUAACUCAUGAAUAAGCACCGGCUAACUACGUG
RNAcentral lists this ribosomal RNA (451 nucleotides) under uncultured bacterium. RNAcentral's name for it is "partial 16S ribosomal RNA". It matches the Rfam family "Bacterial small subunit ribosomal RNA", at positions 28 to 507 of the family's 1533-position model. The record is from RNAcentral.